RNAcentral lists this ribosomal RNA (623 nucleotides) under Cronobacter sakazakii. Its description in RNAcentral is "partial 23S ribosomal RNA". It matches the Rfam family "Bacterial large subunit ribosomal RNA", at positions 1 to 666 of the family's 2925-position model. The record is from RNAcentral. RNAcentral also lists the same sequence under 1 other name. Lineage: Bacteria; Pseudomonadati; Pseudomonadota; Gammaproteobacteria; Enterobacterales; Enterobacteriaceae.
GGUUAAGCGAACAAGCGUACACGGUGGAUGCCCUGGCAGUCAGAGGCGAUGAAGGACGUGCUAAUCUGCGAAAAGCGCCGGUAAGGUGAUAUGAACCGUUAUAACCGGCGAUGUCCGAAUGGGGAAACCCGGUGCACUUCGGUGCAUCAUCGUUAGCUGAAUACAUAGGCUAACGAGGCGAACCGGGGGAACUGAAACAUCUAAGUACCCCGAGGAAAAGAAAUCAACCGAGAUUCCCCCAGUAGCGGCGAGCGAACGGGGAACAGCCCAGAGCCUGAAUCAGCUUGUGUGUCAGUGGAACGGUCUGGAAAGGCCGGCGAUACAGGGUGACAGCCCCGUACACGAAGGCACACAGGCUGUGAGCUCGAUGAGUAGGGCGGGACACGUGAUAUCCUGUCUGAAGAUGGGGGGACCAUCCUCCAAGGCUAAAUACUCCUGACUGACCGAUAGUGAACCAGUACCGUGAGGGAAAGGCGAAAAGAACCCCGGCGAGGGGAGUGAAACAGAACCUGAAACCGUGUACGUACAAGCAGUGGGAGCCUUCGUAAGAGGGUGACUGCGUACCUUUUGUAUAAUGGGUCAGCGACUUAUAUUCUGUAGCAAGGUUAACCGUAUAGGGGAGC